RNAcentral lists this ribosomal RNA (603 nucleotides) under uncultured bacterium. RNAcentral's name for it is "bacterial SSU rRNA". It matches the Rfam family "Bacterial small subunit ribosomal RNA", at positions 338 to 937 of the family's 1533-position model. The record is from RNAcentral.
CCUACGGGAGGCAGCAGUGGGGAAUUUUGGACAAUGGGCGAAAGCCUGAUCCAGCAAUGCCGCGUGAGUGAAGAAGGCCUUCGGGUUGUAAAGCUCUUUUGUCAGGGAAGAAACGGUGAGAGCUAAUAUCUUUUGCUAAUGACGGUACCUGAAGAAUAAGCACCGGCUAACUACGUGCCAGCAGCCGCGGUAAUACGUAGGGUGCAAGCGUUAAUCGGAAUUACUGGGCGUAAAGCGUGCGCAGGCGGUUUUGUAAGUCUGUCGUGAAAUCCCCGGGCUCAACCUGGGAAUUGCGAUGGAGACUGCAAGGCUAGAAUCUGGCAGAGGGGGGUAGAAUUCCACGUGUAGCAGUGAAAUGCGUAGAGAUGUGGAGGAACACCGAUGGCGAAGGCAGCCCCCUGGGUCAAGAUUGACGCUCAUGCACGAAAGCGUGGGGAGCAAACAGGAUUAGAUACCCUGGUAGUCCACGCCCUAAACGAUGUCUACUAGUUGUCGGGUUUUAAUUAACUUGGUAACGCAGCUAACGCGUGAAGUAGACCGCCUGGGGAGUACGGUGCAGNUUAAACNAAGAUGACGCNGNGAGNGCGAGAGACAGAGGAGAGG